Molecule: ribosomal RNA, 454 nt
Filed under: uncultured Bacillota bacterium
Lineage: Bacteria; Bacillati; Bacillota
Description: bacterial SSU rRNA
Rfam family: Bacterial small subunit ribosomal RNA
Source: RNAcentral
GACGAACGCUGGCGGCGUGCUUAACACAUGCAAGUCGAGCGAGGAACUUCGGUUCCUAGCGGCGGACGGGUGAGUAACACGUGGGUAACCUACCUCAAAGAGGGGAAUAGCCUCCCGAAAGGGAGAUUAAUACCGCAUAACAUCAUAGCUUCGCAUGAAGCAAUGAUUAAAGGAGUAAUCCGCUUUGAGAUGGACCCGCGGCGCAUUAGCUAGUUGGAGAGGUAACGGCUCACCAAGGCGACGAUGCGUAGCCGACCUGAGAGGGUGAUCGGCCACAUUGGAACUGAGCCACGGUCCAGACUCCUACGGGAGGCAGCAGUGGGGAAUAUUGCACAAUGGGCGAAAGCCUGAUGCAGCAACGCCGCGUGAGUGAUGACGGUCUUCGGAUUGUAAAGCUCUGUCUUUUGGGACGAUAAUGACGGUACCAAAGGAGGAAGCCACGGCUAACUACGUG